UACGUAGGGGGCAAGCGUUGUCCGGAAUCAUUGGGCGUAAAGAGCGUGUAGGCGGCCUGGUAAGUCCGCUGUGAAAGUCCAGGGCUCAACCCUGGAAUGCCGGUGGAAACUGUCAGGCUCGAGUCCGGAAGAGGCGAGUGGAAUUCCUGGUGUAGCGGUGAAAUGCGCAGAUAUCAGGAGGAACACCAAGGGGGAAGGCAGCUCGCUGGGACGGUACUGACGCUGAGACGCGAAAGCGUGGGGAGCAAACAGG
Molecule: ribosomal RNA, 253 nt
Filed under: uncultured bacterium
Lineage: Bacteria
Description: partial 16S ribosomal RNA
Rfam family: Bacterial small subunit ribosomal RNA
Source: RNAcentral